UACGAAGGGGGCUAGCGUUGCUCGGCAUCACUGGGCGUAAAGGGUGCGUAGGCGGGUCUUUAAGUCCGGGGUGAAAUCCUGGAGCUCAACUCCAGAACUGCCUUUGAUACUGGUGAUCUUGAGUCCGGGAGAGGUGAGUGGAACUGCGAGUGUAGAGGUGAAAUUCGUAGAUAUUCGCAAGAACACCAGUGGCGAAGGCGGCUCACUGGCCCGGUACUGACGCUGAGGUGCGAAAGCGUGGGGAGCAAACAGG
Molecule: ribosomal RNA, 253 nt
Filed under: uncultured bacterium
Lineage: Bacteria
Description: partial 16S ribosomal RNA
Rfam family: Bacterial small subunit ribosomal RNA
Source: RNAcentral